Molecule: ribosomal RNA, 886 nt
Filed under: uncultured bacterium
Lineage: Bacteria
Description: bacterial SSU rRNA
Rfam family: Bacterial small subunit ribosomal RNA
Source: RNAcentral
AGAGUUUGAUCAUGGCUCAGGACGAACGCUGGCGGCGUGCCUAAUACAUGCAAGUCGAGCGAGCUUGCCUAGAUGAUUUUAGUGCUUGCACUAAAUGAAACUAGAUACAAGCGAGCGGCGGACGGGUGAGUAACACGUGGGUAACCUGCCCAAGAGACUGGGAUAACACCUGGAAACAGAUGCUAAUACCGGAUAACAACACUAGACGCAUGUCUAGAGUUUGAAGGAUGGUUCUGCUAUCACUCUUGGAUGGACCUGCGGUGCAUUAGCUAGUUGGUAAGGUAACGGCUUACCAAGGCAAUGAUGCAUAGCCGAGUUGAGAGACUGAUCGGCCACAUUGGGACUGAGACACGGCCCAAACUCCUACGGGAGGCAGCAGUAGGGAAUCUUCCACAAUGGACGAAAGUCUGAUGGAGCAACGCCGCGUGAGUGAAGAAGGGUUUCGGCUCGUAAAGCUCUGUUGGUAGUGAAGAAAGAUAGAGGUAGUAACUGGCCUUUAUUUGACGGUAAUUACUUAGAAAGUCACGGCUAACUACGUGCCAGCAGCCGCGGUAAUACGUAGGUGGCAAGCGUUGUCCGGAUUUAUUGGGCGUAAAGCGAGUGCAGGCGGUUCAAUAAGUCUGAUGUGAAAGCCUUCGGCUCAACCGGAGAAUUGCAUCAGAAACUGUUGAACUUGAGUGCAGAAGAGGAGAGUGGAACUCCAUGUGUAGCGGUGGAAUGCGUAGAUAUAUGGAAGAACACCAGUGGCGAAGGCGGCUCUCUGGUCUGCAACUGACGCUGAGGCUCGAAAGCAUGGGUAGCGAACAGGAUUAGAUACCCUGGUAGUCCAUGCCGUAAACGAUGAGUGCUAAGUGUUGGGAGGUUUCCGCCCCUCAGUGCUGCAGCU